CACCUAUCUAAGGAAUAACAUUUCUCAGGCUGGCAAACCUGGAAGCUGAAUGCUACAAAACGCUACAGUAAAGAAUAGCACAGUGCAAUGAUUUUUUUUAAAAAUGACCUGAGAUUGCAAAGAUGCUGCCAAUACCAGAAGACACCAACACCUUCCUGCCAAUGCACUGUAUGCAGUAUGGAGACCUAUCACUUACAAUGAUUUGUCCACCUCAUUGGGUCAAGUGCUUUCAUAACUUCCAAAUGUCCAGGUUGUUAAAUAAUACUUGACAACUCCAGCUGUAAUCCACAAGAUCUACAUCUACAUCUAUGCACCAUAAAAAAGCCUGAAGUGGUGUGCAACUCUUUAUUGUGUGCAACUAGUUUCA
Molecule: non-coding RNA, 367 nt
Organism: Chiloscyllium plagiosum (whitespotted bambooshark)
Lineage: Eukaryota; Metazoa; Chordata; Chondrichthyes; Orectolobiformes; Hemiscylliidae
Source: RefSeq, a predicted model, not a curated record